GACGAACGCUGGCGGCGUGCCUAAUACAUGCAAGUUGAGCGCUGAAGGUUGGUACUUGUACCUCCUGGAUGAGCAGCGAACGGGUGAGUAACGCGUGGGGAAUCUGCCUUUGAGCGGGGGACAACAUUUGGAAACGAAUGCUAAUACCGCAUAAAAACUUUAAACACAAGUUUUAAGUUUGAAAGAUGCAAUUGCAUCACUCAAAGAUGAUCCCGCGUUGUAUUAGCUAGUUGGUGAGGUAAAGGCUCACCAAGGCGAUGAUACAUAGCCGACCUGAGAGGGUGAUCGGCCACAUUGGGACUGAGACACGGCCCAAACUCCUACGGGAGGCAGCAGUAGGGGAGCUUCGGCAAUGGACGAAAGUCUGACCGAGCAACGCCGCGUGAGUGAAGAAGGUUUUCGGAUCGUAAAACUCUGUUGGUAGAGAAGAACGUAGGUGAGAGUGGAAAGCUCAUCAAGUGACGGUAACUACCCAGAAAGGGACGGCUAACUACGUG
Molecule: ribosomal RNA, 497 nt
Filed under: uncultured bacterium
Lineage: Bacteria
Description: partial 16S ribosomal RNA
Rfam family: Bacterial small subunit ribosomal RNA
Source: RNAcentral